GACGGGUGAGUAAUGCCUAGGAAAUUGCCCUGAUGUGGGGGAUAACCAUUGGAAACGAUGGCUAAUACCGCAUAAUGCCUACGGGCCAAAGAGGGGGACCUUCGGGCCUCUCGCGUCAGGAUAUGCCUAGGUGGGAUUAGCUAGUUGGUGAGGUAAGGGCUCACCAAGGCGACGAUCCCUAGCUGGUCUGAGAGGAUGAUCAGCCACACUGGAACUGAGACACGGUCCAGACUCCUACGGGAGGCAGCAGUGGGGAAUAUUGCACAAUGGGCGCAAGCCUGAUGCAGCCAUGCCGCGUGUGUGAAGAAGGCCUUCGGGUUGUAAAGCACUUUCAGUCGUGAGGAAGGUAGUGUAGUUAAUAGCUGCAUUAUUUGACGUUAGCGACAGAAGAAGCACCGGCUAACUCCGUGCCAGCAGCCGCGGUAAUACGGAGGGUGCGAGCGUUAAUCGGAAUUACUGGGCGUAAAGCGCAUGCAGGUGGUUUGUUAAGUCAGAUGUGAAAGCCCGGGGCUCAACCUCGGAAUUGCAUUUGAAACUGGCAGACUAGA
Molecule: ribosomal RNA, 548 nt
Filed under: Vibrio alginolyticus
Lineage: Bacteria; Pseudomonadati; Pseudomonadota; Gammaproteobacteria; Vibrionales; Vibrionaceae
Description: bacterial SSU rRNA
Rfam family: Bacterial small subunit ribosomal RNA
Source: RNAcentral